RNAcentral lists this ribosomal RNA (250 nucleotides) under uncultured bacterium. RNAcentral's name for it is "partial 16S ribosomal RNA". It matches the Rfam family "Bacterial small subunit ribosomal RNA", at positions 524 to 773 of the family's 1533-position model. The record is from RNAcentral.
UACGGAGGGUGCAAGCGUUAUCCGGAUUUAUUGGGUUUAAAGGGUCCGUAGGCGGACUUAUAAGUCAGUGGUGAAAUCUCAUAGCUUAACUAUGAAACUGCCAUUGAUACUGUAAGUCUUGAGUGUAGUUGAGGUAGCUGGAAUAAGUAGUGUAGCGGUGAAAUGCAUAGAUAUUACUUAGAACACCAAUUGCGAAGGCAGGUUACCAAGUUACAACUGACGCUGAUGGACGAAAGCGUGGGGAGCGAAC